Molecule: ribosomal RNA, 254 nt
Filed under: uncultured bacterium
Lineage: Bacteria
Description: partial 16S ribosomal RNA
Rfam family: Bacterial small subunit ribosomal RNA
Source: RNAcentral
UACGGGGGGGGCAAGCGUUGUUCGGAAUUACUGGGCGUAAAGGGCUCGUAGGCGGCCAACUAAGUCAGACGUGAAAUCCCUCGGCUUAACCGGGGAACUGCGUCUGAUACUGGAUGGCUUGAGUUUGGGAGAGGGAUGCGGAAUUCCAGGUGUAGCGGUGAAAUGCGUAGAUAUCUGGAGGAACACCGGUGGCGAAGGCGGCAUCCUGGGCCAACACUGGCGGUGAGUGAGCGAAAGCCAGGGGAGCAAACGGG